Molecule: small RNA, 27 nt
Filed under: Bombyx mori (domestic silkworm)
Lineage: Eukaryota; Metazoa; Arthropoda; Insecta; Lepidoptera; Bombycidae
Description: ovarian small RNA-22720
Source: RNAcentral
UAGGGAUACAAGAAGGUGAACUUCCUA